This 100-nucleotide signal recognition particle RNA is filed under the name bacterium UBP9_UBA11836. Its description in RNAcentral is "signal recognition particle sRNA small type". It matches the Rfam family "Bacterial small signal recognition particle RNA". Rfam says of the family: The signal recognition particle (SRP) is a universally conserved ribonucleoprotein involved in the co-translational targeting of proteins to membranes. Archaeal SRP consists of a 7S RNA and homologues of the eukaryotic SRP19 and SRP54 proteins. RNAcentral also lists the same sequence under 1 other name. The record is from RNAcentral.
ACCUAGGCCCCAUUCAAUUGGAGAGCUAUGAACCAGGUCAGGUGCGGAAGCAAGCAGCCUUAAGUAGAUUCGCCAAUGUGAAGUGGUUAGCCUAGGUUUC